Molecule: transfer RNA, 72 nt
Filed under: Tetrapisispora phaffii CBS 4417
Lineage: Eukaryota; Fungi; Ascomycota; Saccharomycetes; Saccharomycetales; Saccharomycetaceae
Description: tRNA-Pro (TGG) (tRNA-Pro-TGG-2-1)
Rfam family: tRNA
About the family: Transfer RNA (tRNA) molecules are approximately 80 nucleotides in length. Their secondary structure includes four short double-helical elements and three loops (D, anti-codon, and T loops).
Source: RNAcentral
GGGCGUGUGGUCUAGUGGUAUGAUUCUCGCUUUGGGUGCGAGAGGCCCUGAGUUCAAUUCCCAGCUCUCUCC